ACCUGGCUGGCUCAGUCAGUAGAGCAUGAGACUCUUGAUCUCAGGGUUGUAAGUUUGAGGCCCACGUUGGGUG
RNAcentral lists this transfer RNA (73 nucleotides) under Mustela putorius furo (domestic ferret). It matches the Rfam family "tRNA". Rfam says of the family: Transfer RNA (tRNA) molecules are approximately 80 nucleotides in length. Their secondary structure includes four short double-helical elements and three loops (D, anti-codon, and T loops). The record is from Rfam by way of RNAcentral. Lineage: Eukaryota; Metazoa; Chordata; Mammalia; Carnivora; Mustelidae.